AGCCUACGGGGCGCAGCAGUAGGGAAUUUUCGUCAAUGGGCGCAAGCCUGAACGAGCAAUGCCGCGUGAACGAGGAAGGUCUUCGGAUCGUAAAGUUCUGUUGACGGGGAAAAAGACCGGGAAAGGAAAUGAUCCCGGAGGAGAUAUUACCCGUCGAGGAAGUCACGGCUAACCACGUGCCAGCAGCCGCGGUAAUACGUAGGUGGCGAGCGUUAACCGGAAUGAUUGGGCGUGAAGGGUGCGUAGGCGGUAGAUUCAGUCUGGAGUGAAAGGUACCGGCUCAACCGGUCUAGGCUCCGGAAACU
Molecule: ribosomal RNA, 305 nt
Filed under: uncultured bacterium
Lineage: Bacteria
Description: bacterial SSU rRNA
Rfam family: Bacterial small subunit ribosomal RNA
Source: RNAcentral